AGUCAUGUCGGGUAGCCAAGGAUGGUUUGCCUAGGUAUUCCAAUUCAUAGGACUUUGUCUCUUUUGAAGAUAUAUAGCCCUUUGAUUGUUUGUUUUGGCGACAUCUUUGGCUGGUUGACUGUCUCU
RNAcentral lists this microRNA precursor (126 nucleotides) under Phaseolus vulgaris (common bean). The record is from RNAcentral. Lineage: Eukaryota; Viridiplantae; Streptophyta; Magnoliopsida; Fabales; Fabaceae.